UACAGAGGAUGCAAGCGUUAUCCGGAAUGAUUGGGCGUAAAGCGUCUGUAGGUGGCUUUUUAAGUCCGCCGUCAAAUCCCAGGGCUCAACUCUGGACAGGCGGUGGAAACUACCAAGCUCGAGUACGGUAGGGGAGAAUGGAAUUCCCGGUGUAGCGGUGAAAUGCGCAGAUAUCGGGAGGAACACCGGUGGCGAAGGCGGUUCUCUGGGCCGAUACUGACGCUGAGGAGCGAAAGCGUGGGGAGCGAACAGG
Molecule: ribosomal RNA, 253 nt
Filed under: uncultured bacterium
Lineage: Bacteria
Description: partial 16S ribosomal RNA
Rfam family: Bacterial small subunit ribosomal RNA
Source: RNAcentral